Molecule: ribosomal RNA, 253 nt
Filed under: uncultured bacterium
Lineage: Bacteria
Description: partial 16S ribosomal RNA
Rfam family: Bacterial small subunit ribosomal RNA
Source: RNAcentral
CACGUAGGAGGCGAGCGUUGUCCGGAAUCAUUGGGCGUAAAGAGCGCGCAGGCGGCUUGGCAAGUCGGGUGUGAAAUCCCGGGGCUCAACCCCGUGACUGCAUCCGAUACUGUCAGGCUAGAGGUAGGUAGGGGAGAUCGGAAUUCCUGGUGUAGCGGUGAAAUGCGCAGAUAUCAGGAGGAACACCGGUGGCGAAGGCGGGUCUCUGGGCCGAUACUGACGCUGAGGAGCGAAAGCAUGGGUAGCGAACAGG